This 836-nucleotide long non-coding RNA is filed under the name Nicotiana benthamiana. Its description in RNAcentral is "long non-coding RNA (NBEN_LNC028217)". Lineage: Eukaryota; Viridiplantae; Streptophyta; Magnoliopsida; Solanales; Solanaceae. The record is from RNAcentral.
AAAGAUUUUUCGGGAUAUCGGCCUAAGAUCGUGUAAGUAAGUAAUCUGAUAUUUUUUUUACAAUCAACUUUCUUUAUAAUAAAUGUAUAAUUUUUAUAUACCUAUAAGAGCAUUUGACGUUUAAAUAUUAUAAGAAUUAUUUAAAAUGAAUUAUUUUUACUUUUUAAAUAUUAUAUAUGGAAUAAUUACUUCACGCUUGUUCCAAAUUAAAUGCUUCAAAUAUUAAAGGAUGUUAUGUUAUUGUUAGUCGACUAGUACAAGAAAUGGUCACUUCAUUAACGCUAUAUAUAGCUUGCCCAGAGAAGUGCAUUCUCCCAUCUCUACCUGCUUUUUAUUUCCUCUUCUUCUUUAACUAUUAUUUACUAUAUUAUGGUAACUAUCUCAGCUGGUUUUCUGGGAGUUGUUGUGUUGGUUGUUCUUUUCAUAAGUGGAGCCAUGGCUUUUGCUGACAUUGAGCAUCCGUCUGGUAUGUUUGCCGGUAGGCGGUUGCUCCCUGACGGUGGCUCAGCCGGCGGUGACGGUGUUGUUGAGGGAGGACUGCUGGGUCCGAUAGCAGAUGCUUUCGGUCUUGUUGGAAAUUUGUUGGGAGAUCUUACUGGAAAGAAUUAAUGGUGGAAACAAAUUUAAUUUAUACAAUCCUAGCAAAAUAUUUCUAUUAUUAAUAACUAGACUUGUGUUUUUCUUUUUCUUUUGAAUAAUUGGCUCUUGAGUUUCUUGCUUUUUUCAUUAUACUAUGUAUUUGUGUGGUUUCCUUCUUCUCUCUAUACUUUCGGAGUUUCAAUAUUGUAUCCCAAGUUUAAUUAAUGACAAUAAUGGAGAGUGAAUUACUACUUUAC